This 420-nucleotide ribosomal RNA is filed under the name uncultured bacterium. RNAcentral's name for it is "bacterial SSU rRNA". It matches the Rfam family "Bacterial small subunit ribosomal RNA", at positions 356 to 773 of the family's 1533-position model. The record is from RNAcentral.
AAGGAAUAUUGGGCAAUGGACGCAAGUCUGACCCAGCCAUGCCGCGUGCAGGAUGAAUGCCCUAUGGGUUGUAAACUGCUUUUAUACGGGAAAAAACCCUUCGACGUGUCGGAGGCUGAUGGUACCGUAAGAAUAAGGAUCGGCUAACUCCGUGCCAGCAGCCGCGGUAAUACGGAGGAUCCAAGCGUUAUCCGGAUUUAUUGGGUUUAAAGGGUGCGUAGGCGGAAUUGUAAGUCAGUGGUGAAAUCCUACAGCUUAACUGUAGAACGGCCAUUGAUACUGCAGAUCUUGAGUAUAUUUGAAGUGGGCGGAAUGUGUCAUGUAGCGGUGAAAUGCUUAGAUAUGACACAGAACACCGAUUGCGAAGGCAGCUCACUAAACUAUAACUGACGCUGAGGCACGAAAGCGUGGGGAGCAAAC